This 254-nucleotide ribosomal RNA is filed under the name uncultured bacterium. Its description in RNAcentral is "partial 16S ribosomal RNA". It matches the Rfam family "Bacterial small subunit ribosomal RNA", at positions 524 to 776 of the family's 1533-position model. The record is from RNAcentral.
UACGGGGGGAGCAAGCGUUGUUCGGAUUUACUGGGCGUAAAGGGCGCGUAGGCGGCCAGCACAAGUCAGUUGUGAAAUCUCCGAGCUUAACUCGGAACGGUCAACUGAUACUGUGCGGCUAGAGUGCAGAAGGGGCAACUGGAAUUCUUGGUGUAGCGGUGAAAUGCGUAGAUAUCAAGAGGAACACCUGAGGUGAAGACGGGUUGCUGGGCCGACACUGACGCUGAUGCGCGAAAGCCAGGGGAGCAAACGGG